This 343-nucleotide unclassified non-coding RNA is filed under the name soil metagenome. RNAcentral's name for it is "partial contains 5.8S ribosomal RNA, internal transcribed spacer 2, and large subunit ribosomal RNA". The stretch from base 1 to 120 matches the Rfam family "5.8S ribosomal RNA", at positions 35 to 154 of the family's 154-position model. The record is from RNAcentral.
GAUGAAGAACGCAGCGAAACGCGAUAGGUAAUGUGAAUUGCAGAAUUCAGUGAAUCAUCGAAUCUUUGAACGCACAUUGCGCCCCUUGGUAUUCCGAGGGGCAUGCCUGUUCGAGCGUCAUUACACCACUCAAGCACUGCUUGGUAUUGGGCAUCGUCCGUCGAAAGGCGGGCGUGCCUCGAAGACCUCGGCGGGGUUUCUCCAACUUCGGGCGUAGUAGAGUUAAAUCGAACGUCUUAUAAGCUUGGUGGGACUCCAUUGCCGUUAAACCUUUUAUUUUCUAGGUUGACCUCGGAUCAGGUAGGGAUACCCGCUGAACUUAAGCAUAUCAAUAAGCGGAGGA